UACAGAGGUCCCAAGCGUUGUUCGGAUUCACUGGGCGUAAAGGGUGCGUAGGCGGACGGGUAAGUCUGAUGUGAAAUCUCACAGCUUAACUGUGAAACUGCAUUGGAUACUAUCCGACUAGAGGAAUGGAGGGGAGACUGGAAUACUUGGUGUAGCAGUGAAAUGCGUAGAUAUCAAGUGGAACACCAGUGGCGAAGGCGAGUCUCUGGACAUUUCCUGACGCUGAGGCACGAAAGCCAGGGGAGCAAACGGG
RNAcentral lists this ribosomal RNA (253 nucleotides) under uncultured bacterium. Its description in RNAcentral is "partial 16S ribosomal RNA". It matches the Rfam family "Bacterial small subunit ribosomal RNA", at positions 524 to 776 of the family's 1533-position model. The record is from RNAcentral.